GUAACGAUCUGGGCACUGUCUCAACGAGAGACUCGGUGAAAUUAUAUUGUCCGUGAAGAUGCGGACUACCCGCGACAGGACGGAAAGACCCCAUGGAGCUUUACUGUAGCUUGAUAUUGAGUGUUUGUACAGCUUGUACAGGAUAGGUAGGAGCCAUAGAAACCGGAACGCUAGUUUCGGUGGAGGCGUUGGUGGGAUACUACCCUCGCUGUAUGACCACUCUAACCCGCACCACUAAUCGUGGUGGGAGACAGUGUCAGGUGGGCAGUUUGACUGGGGCGGUCGCCUCCUAAAAAGUAACGGAGGCGCCC
Molecule: ribosomal RNA, 311 nt
Filed under: Lactobacillus delbrueckii subsp. bulgaricus
Lineage: Bacteria; Bacillati; Bacillota; Bacilli; Lactobacillales; Lactobacillaceae
Description: partial 23S ribosomal RNA
Rfam family: Bacterial large subunit ribosomal RNA
Source: RNAcentral